GGGAGUAACACGUGGGUAACCUGCCCACUCAGAAGGGGAUAACACUUGGAAACAGGUGCUAAUACCGUAUAACAAUCGAAACCGCAUGGUUUCGGUUUGAAAGGCGCUUUUGCGUCACUGAUGGAUGGACCCGCGGUGCAUUAGCUAGUUGGUGAGGUAACGGCUCACCAAGGCAACGAUGCAUAGCCGACCUGAGAGGGUGAUCGGCCACAUUGGGACUGAGACACGGCCCAA
RNAcentral lists this ribosomal RNA (234 nucleotides) under uncultured bacterium. RNAcentral describes it as "partial 16S ribosomal RNA". It matches the Rfam family "Bacterial small subunit ribosomal RNA", at positions 106 to 334 of the family's 1533-position model. The record is from RNAcentral.